GAUGAAGAACGUAGCAAAAUGCGAUAAGUAAUGUGAAUUGCAGAAUUCAGUGAAUCAUCGAAUCUUUGAACGCACAUUGCGCCCGCUGGUAUUCCGGCGGGCAUGCCUGUUCGAGCGUCAUUUCAACCCUCAAGCCCCCGGGUUUGGUGUUGGGGAUCGGCUCUGCCCUCUGGGCGGUGCCGCCCCCGAAAUACAUUGGCGGUCUCGCUGCAGCCUCCAUUGCGUAGUAGCUAACACCUCGCAACUGGAACGCGGCGCGGCCAUGCCGUAAAACCCCAACUUCUGAAUGUAGACCUCGGAUCAGGUAGGAAUACCCGCUGAACUUAAGCAUAUCAAUAAGCGGAGGA
This 347-nucleotide unclassified non-coding RNA is filed under the name soil metagenome. RNAcentral describes it as "partial contains 5.8S ribosomal RNA, internal transcribed spacer 2, and large subunit ribosomal RNA". The stretch from base 1 to 120 matches the Rfam family "5.8S ribosomal RNA", at positions 35 to 154 of the family's 154-position model. The record is from RNAcentral.